GGUGAGGCUUAAAGGUAGAGUGCUUGCCUAGCAUGCAAAAGGUCCUGGGUUGGAUCCCAGAACCA
This 65-nucleotide transfer RNA is filed under the name Marmota monax (woodchuck). RNAcentral's name for it is "tRNA.Ala". The record is from RNAcentral. Lineage: Eukaryota; Metazoa; Chordata; Mammalia; Rodentia; Sciuridae.